Molecule: ribosomal RNA, 301 nt
Filed under: uncultured bacterium
Lineage: Bacteria
Description: partial 16S ribosomal RNA
Rfam family: Bacterial small subunit ribosomal RNA
Source: RNAcentral
CAGCAGCCACGGUAAUACAGAGGAUGCAAGCGUUAAUCGGAAUUACUGGGCGUAAAGCGCGCGUAGGUGGUUUGUUAAGUUGGAUGUGAAAUCCCCGGGCUCAACCUGGGAACUGCAUUCAAAACUGACUGACUAGAGUAUGGUAGAGGGUGGUGGAAUUUCCUGUGUAGCGGUGAAAUGCGUAGAUAUAGGAAGGAACACCAGUGGCGAAGGCGACCACCUGGACUGAUACUGACACUGAGGUGCGAAAGCGUGGGGAGCAACCAGGAUUAGAUACCCCCGUAGUCCCUGUCUCUUAUAC